RNAcentral lists this unclassified non-coding RNA (347 nucleotides) under soil metagenome. RNAcentral describes it as "partial contains 5.8S ribosomal RNA, internal transcribed spacer 2, and large subunit ribosomal RNA". The stretch from base 1 to 120 matches the Rfam family "5.8S ribosomal RNA", at positions 35 to 154 of the family's 154-position model. The record is from RNAcentral.
GAUGAAGAACGCAGCGAAAUGCGAUAAGUAAUGUGAAUUGCAGAUUUCAGUGAAUCAUCGAAUCUUUGAACGCACAUUGCGCCCUUUGGUAUUCCUUAGGGCAUGCCUGUUCGAGCGUCAUUUAAACCUUCAAGCUCAGCUUGGUGAUGGGUGACUGUCCGCUGCCUCCCCCCGGGGUGCGCCGCGGACUCGCCUCAAAACGAUUGGCGGCCGGUACAUUGGCUUCGAGCGCAGCAGAAACGCGAACUCGGGCCCGUCGUAUUGGCUCCCAGAAGCUAUCUUCACAAUUUUGACCUCGGAUCAGGUAGGGAUACCCGCUGAACUUAAGCAUAUCAAUAAGCGGAGGA